GUUUCAUUUCGAGAGGGCAGAGCAGCGCUGCUGUGACUCCGACACCACCUAACCCACUGUGACUCAUCAUCCUGCCCGCUGUACCUCCAACAUCCUCUGACAUCUCGUGACUCUAUGAGAACACGCCUUCCGCUGCACCUCCAGCAUCACCCCGCCCUGACCCCGACACCGGCCCGUGCAGCCGCUCAGCUCACACACAGAACUCUCGCAUCCUCGUGGAGCGGCCCCGCUGCCUCCUGCUCCGAGCGCGGCCCGAGCACAACUGCAGCUCCCAGAACAGAACAGGCAGAUCUCAGCUCCAAGAUCCAAUACUUCCACACCAUGGCAAAAGGAAACCAACAACCAAAUUCUCCACAAGAGAAAGCAGUGCUGUUCUCCCCAGAAGACGAAAACCAACAAUCCAAACGGGGCUGUAAAUGGAAUGUGGACAGAAGGAAAAGCCACCGCCUGCUCUGUGUGGGUUUGUGUGCAGUGCCAUGGAUCCUUGUCACAGUGCUGCUGGUAGUCCUGAUAGGUGAGUGCCACCUGCAUCCCCACGGCGAUGAAACCUCUACUGUGGGUGUAGGACGGGGGACGAUGGGGUUCCCAGCGCCCUGAGCUGCUCCCCAAGCACAGCCCCGAUCCCAGCUCCUGGGGCGCCCACGCGCUGCCCUAAACCACGUUC
Molecule: long non-coding RNA, 664 nt
Filed under: Numida meleagris (helmeted guineafowl)
Lineage: Eukaryota; Metazoa; Chordata; Aves; Galliformes; Numididae
Description: lncRNA (ENSNMEG00000004943.1)
Source: RNAcentral